RNAcentral lists this ribosomal RNA (319 nucleotides) under uncultured Alphaproteobacteria bacterium. RNAcentral's name for it is "bacterial SSU rRNA". It matches the Rfam family "Bacterial small subunit ribosomal RNA", at positions 476 to 794 of the family's 1533-position model. The record is from RNAcentral. Lineage: Bacteria; Pseudomonadati; Pseudomonadota; Alphaproteobacteria.
UACCCUAAGAAUAAGGUCCGGCUAACUUCGUGCCAGCAGCCGCGGUAAUACGAAGGGACCUAGCGUAGUUCGGAAUUACUGGGCGUAAAGCGCGCGUAGGCCGUUGAGUUAGUUAAUUGUGAAAUCCCAAAGCUUAACUUUGGAACUGCAAUUAAAACUGCUCGACUAGAGUUUGAUAGAGGAAAGCGGAAUACAUAGUGUAGAGGUGAAAUUCGUAGAUAUUAUGUAGAACACCAGUUGCGAAGGCGGCUUUCUGGAUCAACACUGACGCUGAGGCGCGAAAGUAUGGGUAGCAAAGAGGAUUAGAUACCCUCGUAGU